ACAUUCCCCACAUCGAGUUUUAAAUUCUCAAACGGUUGCAAUUACUAUAACCCGCCGGUAAUUUCUCCUCCUCCUCUGUUUUGCUUCAUUGUUACUUGUAAUGAAAUUAAUAAUAAUAAUGAUAAUAAUUAAAUUUUGAAUUAAAUUUCUAUAUUUUGCCAAUGUCUCAUAGGAAUGUGCAAUAUUUUCUAAUAUUUUGAUUUUUGUAUUGAAUAUAACUAUUUACUUCAGUGUACGAUAAUUUGUUACGUGAAACUUCUUGAGAGACUGAAUUUCUGGGGUACUUUGUAGUAAUGUUGAAAACUAAGUGAUGGCUAGGUCUGCUCUGUUUCAGUUGAGGAUGGAUGGCUGCCUGGAAGACAUGAUGAUUAUUAUUGCAUGAUAUUAAGGUGCUGAGAUCAUCAUUUCUAUCUUGUUUCUUUCUUUGAUCGGUUUAUCUUCUAUAAGCAUAUGGAAUUAUGCUAGUAAUAUCACUUCUUCACCCAAUUUUCACUGUUGGUUGUAAUAACCAUUUCAGGUUCUCAAAAGCUACAAAGCAAAGCAUCUUUGGGCUGAUCAUAUAUUUCAAUUGACGAAGCAAUUCGAUGUUGGCACUAUUAUGCAGUUAACCAGAGUUGAUAAUUUGCACAAAUUU
RNAcentral lists this long non-coding RNA (634 nucleotides) under Citrus x clementina. RNAcentral's name for it is "Citrus clementina (C. clementina) long non-coding RNA (CCLE_LNC002487)". Lineage: Eukaryota; Viridiplantae; Streptophyta; Magnoliopsida; Sapindales; Rutaceae. The record is from RNAcentral.